AGAGUUUGAUCCUGGCUCAGGACGAACGCUGGCGGCACGCUUAACACAUGCAAGUCGAACGAGAGAAGAGGAGCUUGCUUUUCUGAUCUAGUGGCGGACGGGUGAGUAACACGUGAGCAAUCUGCCUUUCAGAGGGGGAUACCGAUUGGAAACGAUCGUUAAUACCGCAUAACAUAAUUGAACCGCAUGAUUUGAUUAUCAAAGAUUUAUCGCUGAAAGAUGAGCUCGCGUCUGAUUAGCUAGUUGGUAAGGUAACGGCUUACCAAGGCGACGAUCAGUAGCCGGACUGAGAGGUUGAUCGGCCACAUUGGGACUGAGACACGGCCCAGACUCCUACGGGAGGCAGCAGUGGGGAAUAUUGCACAAUGGAGGAAACUCUGAUGCAGCGAUGCCGCGUGAGGGAAGAAGGUUUUAGGAUUGUAAACCUCUGUCUUCAGGGACGAAAAAAGACGGUACCUGAGGAGGAAGCUCCGGCUAACUACGUGCCAGCAGCCGCGGUAAUACGUAGGGAGCGAGCGUUGUCCGGAAUUACUGGGUGUAAAGGGAGCGUAGGCGGGAUCGCAAGUCAGAUGUGAAAACUAUGGGCUUAACCCAUAAACUGCAUUUGAAACUGUGGUUCUUGAGUGAAGUAGAGGUAAGCGGAAUUCCUAGUGUAGCGGUGAAAUGCGUAGAUAUUAGGAGGAACAUCAGUGGCGAAGGCGGCUUACUGGGCUUUAACUGACGCUGAGGCUCGAAAGCGUGGGGAGCAAACAGGACUAGAUACCCUGGUAGUCCACGCCGUAAACGAUGAUUACUAGGUGUGGGGGGACUGACCCCUUCCGUGCCGCAGCAAACGCAAUAAGUAAUCCACCUGGGGAGUACGACCGCAAGGUUGAAACUCAAAGGAAUUGACGGGGGCCCGCACAAGCAGUGGAGUAUGUGGAUUAACUCGAAGCAACGCGAAGAACCUUACCAGGUCUUGACAUCGUAUGCAUAGCUCAGAGAUGAGUGAAAUCUCUUCGGAGACAUAUAGACAGGUGGUGCAUGGUUGUCGUCAGCUCGUGUCGUGAGAUGUUGGGUUAAGUCCCGCAACGAGCGCAACCCUUACUGUUAGUUGCUACGCAAGAGCACUCUAGCAGGACUGCCGUUGACAAAACGGAGGAAGGUGGGGAUGACGUCAAAUCAUCAUGCCCCUUAUGACCUGGGCCUCACACGUACUACAAUGGCUGUCAACAGAGGGAAGCAAAGCCGCGAGGUGGAGCGAACCCCUAAAAGCAGUCUUAGUUCGGAUUGUAGGCUGCAACCCGCCUACAUGAAGUCGGAAUUGCUAGUAAUCGCAGAUCAGCAUGCUGCGGUGAAUACGUUCCCGGGCCUUGUACACACCGCCCGUCACGCCAUGGGAGUCGGUAACACCCGAAGCCUGUAGUCUAACCGCAAGGAGGACGCAGUCGAAGGUGGGAUUGAUGACUGGGGUGAAGUCGUAACAAGGUA
RNAcentral lists this ribosomal RNA (1470 nucleotides) under metagenome. Its description in RNAcentral is "bacterial SSU rRNA". It matches the Rfam family "Bacterial small subunit ribosomal RNA". The record is from RNAcentral.